Long non-coding RNA from Asparagus officinalis (garden asparagus), 493 nucleotides. RefSeq lists it as uncharacterized. The transcript has 2 exons. NCBI's taxonomy places the organism in Eukaryota, Viridiplantae, Streptophyta, Magnoliopsida, Asparagales, Asparagaceae. The record is from RefSeq and is a predicted model, not a curated record.
UAAAUUUACAGCAUGUACGGAGCAUUGGAGGACUCGGAGGAGUAUAAUAUUCAAGAGUUUCAGAACACUGCACGCUAAGGUUCAGAACACUGCACGCUAAGGGAUGAAGAUCUUCUUUGCCAUGGACUUGCAUUAAAUGAUGAUUUGCAGCAUGUCCUAUCCAAACAUGAUGCUCUUAAUGCAGGUGUUGCUGUUCAUAUGUAGAAAACAAAGUCUCUUCAGGCACUUAAUGAAGAUAUUCCUCCUCUUCAUGGACAAGCACUCUGCAAGUCCUAUUGCUCAAGGAUUCGGGAGGCUUGUCAAUCUUUGACGCCAUUGGUACCUUCUGUCAUCAACUAUUUGUAAUUAAUGAUACAAAUUUGAGAUUGUUGUUUCUAGUUUUCUUGAUGUAAUCUGUUUUUGAGACUUUAUGUACUUGGGUAUGCAAGAGGAAGUUUGUAAAUUAACGCUUUUAGCGCUCAAGGGGAAAUGGAAAAAUAGACUUUUAUGUUGA